AUAGUUUGAUUCUAGCUAUAAAUUUAGUUUAUUCUUGAUACUAUACGCUAAACUUAUAAAAAUGAAGAUUUAUAUAAUUAUUAUAUUUAUAUUAUGGUUAUAAAGCAGUAGGUAAUCUUAUUUAUGUGUAAAUACAUGAAAUUGUUGAGGAUAAUUAAUAUGGCCAAUACUGUGCCAGCAGCAGCGGUUAAACAGUAGAAUUCUAAAUUAUAAAAUUUUAUAACGAUAAACUAAAAUUGAUUAAGGGUAAAAUUUAAUAGUAGAGGUUUGAAUUUAUCAUAAUAAAGAUAUUAAUUAAAACAAGGAUUAGAUACCCUUUUAUUUUUAUUCAAUAUAUAAAUUGGAGAGUACGAGCAAUAGCUUAAAAACUAAAGAAUAUGGCGGUGUUUUAUUCGAUCAGGGUGACAUGUAUCUUAAUUUGAUAGUCCACGGUUUUUAAGCCUGACUUUGAAAUUCAGCAUGUGUACUGCCGUUUUACAUAGUUUUAAAAAAUUGUGUAUAAUAUAUGAAUCUUUCAUAUAAUUAGUCAGGUCAAAGCGCAGUCUAUAGUCAGGUGAGAAUGUGUUACAUUUAUUUAAACAUUCAAUUUAUUGAUUUAAAUUUUAAUAAGAAGAAGAACUUGAUAGUAAUUAGAUUGAUUAAAUUUAAUGAAAAGGAUUUUAACGCGUACAAAUCGCCCGUCACUCCUUUAUAAAGGAUAAGUCGUAACACAGUAGAUGUAAUGGAAAUUGUAUCUAU
RNAcentral lists this non-coding RNA (738 nucleotides) under Hirudo verbana. The record is from RNAcentral. Lineage: Eukaryota; Metazoa; Annelida; Clitellata; Hirudinida; Hirudinidae.